RNAcentral lists this ribosomal RNA (1046 nucleotides) under Trieres chinensis. Its description in RNAcentral is "partial Bacterial large subunit ribosomal RNA". It matches the Rfam family "Bacterial large subunit ribosomal RNA", at positions 1825 to 2891 of the family's 2925-position model. The record is from RNAcentral. Lineage: Eukaryota; Bacillariophyta; Thalassiosirophyceae; Eupodiscales; Parodontellaceae.
GCGAAGUCGCAAGACGAUGUAUAUGGACUGACGCCUGCCCGGUGCUGGAAGGUUAAAAGGAGAGGUGAGAGCUUUGAAUUGAAGCCCCAGUAAACGGCGGCCGUAACUAUAACGGUCCUAAGGUAGCGAAAUUCCUUGUCGGGUAAGUUCCGACCCGCACGAAAGGCGUAAUGAUUUGGAUACUGUCUCGGAGAGAGGCUCGGUGAAAUAGACUUGUCUGUGAAGAUGCGGACUACCUGCACCUGGACAGAAAGACCCUAUGAAGCUUUACUGUAACUUGAAAUUGAAAUUGGACUUUAUUCGCGCAGUAUAGGUGGGAGGCGUUGAGAAUACUCUUGCGGGAGUAUAGGAGCUAUUAGUGAGAUACCACUCUUAUAAUGUUAGGUUUCUAACUUUGAACCAUUAUCUGGUCAAAGAACAGUUUCAGGCGGGCAGUUUGACUGGGGCGGUCGCCUCCCAAAUGGUAACGGAGGCGUACAAAGGUUUCCUCUGAACGGAUAGAAAUCGUAUCUAGAGUAUAAAGGCAUAAGGAAGCUUGACUGUGAGACCUACAAGUCGAGCAGGGACGAAAGUCGGUCUUAGUGAUCUGACGGUACUGAGUGGAAAGGCCGUCACUCAACGGAUAAAAGUUACUCUAAGGAUAACAGGCUGAUCUCCCCCAAGAGUUCACAUCGACGGGGAGGUUUGGCACCUCGAUGUCGGCUCAUCGCAUCCUGGGGCUGAAGGCGGUCCCAAGGGUUAGGCUGUUCGCCUAUUAAAGCGGUACGCGAGCUGGGUUCAGACCGGCGUGAGCCAGGUCGGUCCCUAUCUGUCGUGGGCGCUGCACAUUUGAGAGGAGUCUUCCUUAGUACGAGAGGAUUAGGAAGGACGAACCCCUGGUGAUCCAGCUGUCGCGCUAGCGGCACCGCUGGGUAGCUAAGUUCGGCAGGGAUAACCGCUGAAAGCAUCUAAGUGGGAAGCCCAUCACAAGAUAAGACUUCUAUUAAGACAACUUGUAGACUACGAGUUUGAUAGGUCAGAGGUGUAAGUGCAGUAAUGUAUUGAGC